RNAcentral lists this long non-coding RNA (630 nucleotides) under Mus caroli (Ryukyu mouse). Its description in RNAcentral is "predicted gene 13746 (MGP_CAROLIEiJ_G0005397.1)". Lineage: Eukaryota; Metazoa; Chordata; Mammalia; Rodentia; Muridae. The record is from RNAcentral.
AUCUACGCUUCUUACUGAAAGAAUUGUGGGAAUUUAUUUAGUUCAGCUGUCGACUGGUGCCAACUUCCACUGCACAACGAAUUCUUUAAAGCCAUACCUACAACGGUGAUGCCCUGAGAUGACAUUGCCUAAGAAAGCUGUGUUCAUCUUACUUCGUACAAGCAUCUCCAUGAGGUUUGAACAACAACACAAUGUCAGCCUUUCUGCCUCAGUCUCCCAGAGCUUGGAUUGUAGGUGUGAGCUACCACCUGGCUUCUGGUUCUAUUUUUAAAGACAUCUUAGAGACUAAAACGUCGUUAAGUUUUCAUAGUGCGUUCCCAGCUCCAUCUCUGCCUUUGGGCAUGUGAGAAGGCCUGGCGUAGUGUGAGGUGAAUGAUUUCGUCCUGCCUGCUGGACAAGAAGCCAUGGGGUUACCCGGGCCCUCUUUCUGGGUGGUGUUGGCAGCUAGCAAUGAAGCAGUUGUGUUCCUUCUAUUGUGGAGUGUACUCUGGGGGCAUCUGCUUCCCUAAAUCUUCACUCCAUUGUUCACCUACAGCAGUGGUUCUCAACCUUCUCAAAGCUGUGACCUCUUAAUACGGUUCCUCAUGUUGUGGUGACCCCACCCCACAACCAUAAAAUUAUUUUCAUUGC